Molecule: long non-coding RNA, 366 nt
Organism: Rhineura floridana
Lineage: Eukaryota; Metazoa; Chordata; Lepidosauria; Squamata; Rhineuridae
Exons: 3
Source: RefSeq, a predicted model, not a curated record
GAGAGGCCGAAACUGAUCCCAUUCGACCGGCUUGCAACUGGCCAACUCUGGUUCAUUCACUGUAUCCACGGCGUACGGGAUCAAGUUCUGUUGGCCGUCUGGCAUUUCUCGCUCCAUAUAUGUGUCAACAAGCAAGGAUAUCUGGAUUGAGAAGUGGCCAAAUGAUGAAGAAUGCCAGGGGGAACAAUUGCAGAACUUGUGCAAUGAAUUCAUUGCAUUUUCUAAUUUUCUGGUUGUCUUGGGGUGUCCUAACUAAAUACAGAGGAGUCACCUGCAGCAACUGAUUUGCAUAAAAUGGAUUUGAGCCAAUGUUUGGAAGACAUCUUCACUCUCAAAGUUCAGCUUCCUAUAGUUUAUGCUCUCCUG